RNAcentral lists this ribosomal RNA (499 nucleotides) under uncultured bacterium. RNAcentral describes it as "partial 16S ribosomal RNA". It matches the Rfam family "Bacterial small subunit ribosomal RNA", at positions 28 to 507 of the family's 1533-position model. The record is from RNAcentral.
GACGAACGCUGGCGGCGUGCCUAAUACAUGCAAGUCGAGCGAAGUUUUUCUGGUUCUUGCACUAGAAAAACUUAGCGGCGAACGGGUGAGUAACAAGUAAAGAACCUGCCUCAUAGACUGGGACAACGAUAGGAAACGAUAGCUAAUACCGGAUAACAGUAUUUCUCGGAUGAGGGAGAUUUAAAAGUUGGGUAUGCUAACACUAUGAGAUUGCUUUGCGGUGCAUUAGGUAGUUGGUGGGGUAAAGGCCCACCAAGGCGACGAUGCAUAGGCGAACUGAGAGGGUGAUAGCCCACACUGGGACUGGGCCACGGCCCAGGCUCCUACGAGAGGCAGCAGACGGGAAUCUUACGCAAAGGGGGAAAGCAUGGCGGAGCGGCGCCGAGUGAGUGAAGACGGAUUUCGGUUCGUAAAGCUCGGUUGUUAGGGAAGAAUGGAUAUGUAGUAACAAGAAAUGUAAGAGACGGUACCUGGCAAGAAAGCAACGGCUAACUACGUG